GGUCCGUUGGUGUAAUUCGGCAGCACACAUGGUUCUCAACCAGACGGCGCGAGUUCAAAUCUCGUACGGACUA
Molecule: transfer RNA, 73 nt
Filed under: Mycobacterium avium
Lineage: Bacteria; Bacillati; Actinomycetota; Actinomycetes; Mycobacteriales; Mycobacteriaceae
Description: tRNA-Glu
Rfam family: tRNA
About the family: Transfer RNA (tRNA) molecules are approximately 80 nucleotides in length.
Source: RNAcentral